Molecule: ribosomal RNA, 1385 nt
Filed under: uncultured bacterium
Lineage: Bacteria
Description: 16S ribosomal RNA
Rfam family: Bacterial small subunit ribosomal RNA
Source: RNAcentral
UUCGCCCUUAGAGUUUGAUCCUGGCUCAGGACGAACGCUGGCGGCGCGCCUAACACAUGCAAGUCGAACGGAGCUUAGAGAGCUUGCUUUUUAAGCUUAGUGGCGAACGGGUGAGUAACGCGUGAGUAACCUGCCCUAGAGUGGGGGACAACAGUUGGAAACGACUGCUAAUACCGCAUAAGCCCACGGUACCGCAUGGCACUGAGGGAAAAGGAUUUAUUCGCUUUAGGAUGGACUCGCGUCCAAUUAGCUAGUUGGUGAGGUAACGGCCCACCAAGGCGACGAUUGGUAGCCGGACUGAGAGGUUGAACGGCCACAUUGGGACUGAGACACGGCCCAGACUCCUACGGGAGGCAGCAGUGGGGGAUAUUGCACAAUGGGGGAAACCCUGAUGCAGCGACGCCGCGUGGAGGAAGAAGGUUUUCGGAUUGUAAACUCCUGUCGUUAGGGACGAUAAUGACGGUACCUAACAAGAAAGCACCGGCUAACUACGUGCCAGCAGCCGCGGUAAAACGUAGGGUGCAAGCGUUGUCCGGAAUUACUGGGUGUAAAGGGAGCGCAGGCGGGAAGACAAGUUGGAAGUGAAAACCAUGGGGCUCAACCUAUGAAUUGCCCUUCAAAACUGUUUUUCUUGAGUAGUGCAGAGGUAGGAUGGAAUUUCCCGGUGUAGCGGUGGAAUGCGUGGAUAUCGGGAGGAACACCAGUGGCGAAGGCGGUCUUCUGGGCACCAACUGACGCUGAGGCUCGAAAGCAUGGGUAGCAAACAGGAUUAGAUACCCUGGUAGUCCAUGCCGUAAACGAUGAUUACUAGGUGUUGGGGGAUUGACCCCCUCAGUGCCGCAGUUAACACAAUAAGUAAUCCACCUGGGGAGUACGACCGCAAGGUUGAAACUCAAAGGAAUUGACGGGGGCCCGCACAAGCAGUGGAGUAUGUGGUUUAAUUCGAAGCAACGCGAAGAACCUUACCAGGUCUUGACAUCCGAUGCAUAGCACAGAGAUGUGUGAAAUCCUUCGGGACAUCGAGACAGGUGGUGCAUGGUUGUCGUCAGCUCGUGUCGUGAGAUGUUGGGUUAAGUCCCGCAACGAGCGCAACCCUUAUUGCCAGUUACUACGUUAAGAGGACUCUGGCGAGACUGCCGUUGACAAAACGGAGGAAGGUGGGGAUGACGUCAAAUCAUCAUGCCCUUUAUGACCUGGGCUACACACGUACUACAAUGGCGUUAAACAAAGAGAAGCAAGACCGCGAGGUGGAGCAAAACUCAAAAACAACGUCUCAGUUCAGAUUGCAGGCUGCAACUCGCCUGCAUGAAGUCGGAAUUGCUAGUAAUCGCGGAUCAGCAUGCCGCGGUGAAUACGUUCGCGGGCCUUGCACACACCGCCCGUCA